CUCCUAGUACGAGAGGACCGGAGUGGACGCAUCACUGGUGUUCGGGUUGUCAUGCCAAUGGCACUGCCCGGUAGCUAAAUGCGGAAGAGAUAAGUGCUGAAAGCAUCUAAGCACGAAACUUGCCCCGAGAUGAGUUCUCCCUGACUCCUUGAGAGUCCUGAAGGAACGUUGAAGACGACGACGUUGAUAGGCCGGGUGUGUAAGCGCAGCGAUGCGUUGAGCUAACCGGUACUAAUGAACCGUGAGGCUUAACCUUACAACGCCGAAGGUGUUU
This 274-nucleotide ribosomal RNA is filed under the name Escherichia coli. RNAcentral describes it as "partial 23S ribosomal RNA". It matches the Rfam family "Bacterial large subunit ribosomal RNA", at positions 2675 to 2925 of the family's 2925-position model. Lineage: Bacteria; Pseudomonadati; Pseudomonadota; Gammaproteobacteria; Enterobacterales; Enterobacteriaceae. The record is from RNAcentral.